Sapajus apella (tufted capuchin) is the source of this 3235-nucleotide RNA transcript. It is a transcript of the gene named tubulin beta-3 chain-like, with no coding region annotated. Lineage: Eukaryota; Metazoa; Chordata; Mammalia; Primates; Cebidae. The record is from RefSeq and is a predicted model, not a curated record. The transcript is spliced from 5 exons.
CCUGAUGGCAGGCCGGGGGGGGUGGGCGCUCACGCAUCCCGGGCACACGCCCAUCAUGUGGCCGCCCUCAUGGGAGGGGCUCCGAGGAUGACUUUAAAGAUGCAGAGAAAGGCUCCAUUCUUCCCAGGACCUCAGUCCAACCCUGGCCCAGGGAAGCAGGAGGCAGGCAGAGGUCUCAGAGGCCAGGAGGGGCCAGAGGUAUGCAGAUGUCCUGGGGACCUGAGCGGCCUCUAGGGAAGAGGCAAGGAGGGAGCUGAGGACCAGGUUUGUCCGCAUUGGUUGUGAGAUGCCCUGAGGUCAGAGGGUUCAUGCUAGGAAGUGUCGACUGGCUCGGACAUGCCCAAGCUGGCCGGUCCAGGAGGGAGAGGGUGAGUGUGAGGGCAGAUCUGGGGGGUGCCCAGAUGGAAUGAGGCAGGCAUGGGGGACACCCAAGGCUCCCCAGCAGCACCAUGAGCUGAGCAGGACACCUGCAGGGGGAGAACUGUGGGGACCUGGGAGCCUCCAACGACCCCUUCCUGCUUCCUGGACGGGACUAUGCCUAUGCAGGGAGCUCAGAGGAAACUCCUGGGGUCCCUCAACUCCACCCCCACAGCCACCUCCAACCUGGGGCUGGCUGCUAACCACACAGGAGCCCCAUGCCUGGAGGUGUCCAUCCCCGACGGGCUCUUCCUCAGCCUGGGGCUGGUGAGCUUGGUGGAGAAUGUGCUGGUCGUGGCCACCAUCGCUAAGAACCGCAACCUGCACUCGCCCAUGUACUGCUUCAUCUGCUGCCUGGCCCUAUCGGACCUGCUGGUGAGCGGCAGCAACAUGCUGGAGACGGCCGUCGUCGUCCUGCUGGAGGCUGGCGCGCUGGCGACCCAGGCCUCGGUGGUCCAGCAGCUGCACAACACCAUCGACGUGCUCACCUAUAGCGCCAUGCUGUGCAGCCUCUGCUUCGUGGGCGCCAUCGCUGUGGACCGUUACAUCUCCAUCUUCUACGCGCUGCGCUACCACAGCAUCAUGACGCUGCCGCGGGUGCAGAGAGUGAUCGCGGCCAUCUGGGUGGCCAGUGUCCUCUCCAGCACACUCUUCAUCACCUACUACGAACACGCAGUCGCCCUGCUGUGCCUUGUGGUCUUCCUGACCAUGCUAGUGCUCAUGGCUGUGCUGUACGUCCACAUGCUGGCCCGGGCCUGCCAGCAUGCCCAGGGCAUCACCCGGCUCCACAAGAGACAGCCGCCAGCCCACCAGGGCUUUGGCCUCAGAGGUGCUGCCACCCUCACCAUCCUGCUGGGCAUCUUCUUCCUCUGCUGGGGCCCCUUCUUCCUGCAUCUCACACUGGUCGUCUUCUGCCCUCAGCACCUGACCUGCAGCUGUAUCUUCAAGAACUUCAAGGUCUUUCUGACCCUCAUCAUCUGCAACACCAUCAUCAACCCCCUCAUCUACGCUUUCCGCAGCCAGGAGCUCUGCAGGACGCUCAAGGAGGUGCUGCUGUGCUCCUGGUGCACACGGCACAGGACCUGUGCCCUCGUCAGCUGGGAUGUGAAGUCUCUGGGUGGAAAUGUGUGCCAAGAGCCUCUGAGAGGGAGUGCUGCUCCCACCACAGUCCCAGGAGAAGGGGCUUUGUGACCAGCUUAGCCACAGCCAUGCAACAGCUCCUGCAGCAGGAAUUCUGGGAAGUCAUCAGUGAUGAGCAUGGCAUAGACCCCAGUGGCAACUACGUGGGUGACUCCGACUUGCAGCUGGAGCGGAUCAGCGUCUACUACAAUGAGGCAUCUUCUCACAAGUAUGUGCCUCGGGCCAUCCUGGUGGACCUGGAGCCCGGGACCAUGGACAGUGUCCGCUCUGGGGCCUUCGGACAUCUUUUCAGGCCUGACAACUUCAUCUUCGGUCAGAGUGGGGCCGGCAACAACUGGGCCAAGGGCCACUACACGGAGGGCGCGGAGCUGGUGGAUUCGGUCCUGGACGUCGUGCGGAAGGAGUGUGAAAACUGCGACUGUCUGCAGGGCUUCCAGCUGACCCACUCGCUGGGGGGCGGCACGGGGUCCGGGAUGGGCACGUUGCUCAUUAGCAAGGUGCGUGAGGAGUACCCUGACCGCAUCAUGAACACCUUCAGCGUGGUGCCCUCGCCCAAAGUGUCUGACACGGUGGUGGAGCCCUACAACGCCACGCUGUCCAUCCACCAGCUGGUGGAGAACACGGAUGAGACCUACUGCAUUGACAACGAGGCGCUCUACGACAUCUGCUUCCGCACCCUCAAGCUGGCCACGCCCACCUACGGGGACCUCAACCACCUGGUGUCGGCCACCAUGAGCGGGGUGACCACCUCACUGCGCUUCCCAGGCCAGCUCAACGCCGACCUGCGCAAGCUGGCGGUGAACAUGGUGCCCUUCCCCCGCCUGCACUUCUUCAUGCCCGGCUUCGCGCCCCUCACGGCCCGGGGCAGCCAGCAGUACCGGGCCCUGACCGUGCCCGAGCUCACCCAGCAGAUGUUUGACGCCAAGAACAUGAUGGCCGCCUGCGACCCGCGCCACGGCCGCUACCUGACCGUGGCCACUGUGUUCCGGGGCCGCAUGUCCAUGAAGGAGGUGGACGAGCAGAUGCUGGCCAUCCAGAGCAAGAACAGCAGCUACUUCGUGGAGUGGAUCCCCAACAACGUGAAGGUGGCCGUGUGCGACAUCCCACCCCGCGGCCUCAAGAUGUCCUCCACCUUCAUCGGCAACAGCACCGCCAUCCAGGAGCUGUUCAAGCGCAUCUCCGAGCAGUUCACGGCCAUGUUCCGGCGCAAGGCCUUCCUGCACUGGUACACGGGCGAGGGCAUGGACGAGAUGGAGUUCACCGAGGCCGAGAGCAACAUGAACGACCUGGUGUCCGAGUACCAGCAGUACCAGGACGCCACGGCCGAGGAGGAGGGCGAGAUGUACGAAGACGAGGACGAGGAGUCGGAGGCCCAGGGCCCGAAGUGAAGCUGCUUGCGGCUGGCGUGAGGGGCAGGCAGCGGCCUGGGCCAAGGCCAGCAGUGCCUGACCCCCAGAGCCAUCUUGCUGCCACCACCGUCCCCUGCUACCCCCCACCCUCGGGCUCCUGCGCGCCUCCUGCAGUAUUUACGGCCUCAUCUUCCCCACCCAGGCCACCUGCGUGCUGCUCCUGUCUCUGUCUUAUUGCAGCUCCUGGCCUGAUGUUUUAUGGUUUUGUUUUUUACUGGUUUGCGUUUAUAUUUUUGGGGAUACUUAAUAAAUCUAUUGCUGUCAGAUAC